UAGAUCCGCGAUUACCCAUU
This 20-nucleotide non-coding RNA is filed under the name Sclerotinia trifoliorum. Lineage: Eukaryota; Fungi; Ascomycota; Leotiomycetes; Helotiales; Sclerotiniaceae. The record is from RNAcentral.